CCUGGCAACACAGCGCUGUGCAAAACAACACCAGGGCACCACAAAGAGCUGCAGAACGCAGUGCGAUAUCCAACUGCAAAUACGUUGACAGCGUUUACUGGUGAUGCAGCUACUUCUGUUUUGUGAUAGUAAUGUAACACAAAAUACAUGAUUCCUCCUGAGCGUGAUGCAUACAGGUUGAAGGUUUACUGUGUAGAUGCUGAUCUACAUACACAUCAUUAUACUGUAUAUGCUAAGCCCUAAUGUAAAUGAAUGGUGCCUUGGUGUUGAAGGGAUGAAUCCAUUGCUCUUCAAAGCUUGGUAUCUUAUGUAGGACAGUUUUAAUCAACACGAUAUUAUUGUCAUUAACUCGGUUAACCACGAAACAAGAGUCGCCGGACAUGUCGCCCCCCCCCCCCACCGUAUAUUUUGAAUAUGUUUAUGGUGCACAGAAAUGACAUUCAGCUGUGGUACUGGUAUUGUGCACUGCAUGAAGACAUUCCACUAGCCUGCAAGCAGCUGUCAUGUAACAGUGCUCUCCUGGGCAUCCUCCGCUGUUUGUGUGGAGCACACUGCACCUCAACAAUCCAUCAGUUUUGAGACAUUGACCUUCACUGCAGCAAUGAGGAGCAGAUUUUGCUGUUUAAGUCAAGCCACGCCCUGCAGAGGUGCUGCAGCCUAGGAGGCAGUGCAGCAUUCGCUAACUCUGCAUCCUCGGAGACGUGAAGCCCAAAAGAAGAGAGACAGAGAACGGGGAAUGAAUGAGGGCUUGGAAAUCUCAGGCAUUGACUCCAGAAGAAAGCACAGUAUAUGUGAAGAAGUAUCUGGGCUGUAUAUCCUCAGAUUUCAACUCUGAAGCCACAUAGGCUGUCGUUGUCGUUUGAUAGCACAAGAUGUUUGCCUAGAAUAUUUCAACUCGGGCAUUUUCUAGGUGAGUUCGUGCAGGGACGCCACCAGAGGACACAGGACACCUUUUACAUCCUCAAGGAGGCACUUGAAAUACAAAGACAUCUUGCAAAACAGCAAGACACCAUCGGCAACCAAUUCAACACCUCGUCAGUAUGAUAAAAUCCUAAAACCUACAGCAGAGUUAAUCAAGCCACAAGAUGCCCAUGGUCAACAGACCACAGCCUAAUAGAGGAUGACAGCUAAGGAGUUAACCGUGCAAGAACUGGAUACUGUGAAUCAGAGUGCUGAGCAACAAGUCUGCAGCCGUCAUGAAGUAAAUAACCACUGUGGGGACCGGACCUGCAGCUGUUAUUAUGCGUGGAAACCGCUAUAAAGAAACUAUAACAAAAUGUAGGAUGCUACCAACAUAUUUCUUCAAAGAAUGCAACAUAUCACUGUAGCUUUGCAAAAAGUAGUUUUUUCAUAAAUUACUUUGUUUUUGCAGUCAAAGGGUACUUAAAAUUUUGUGCCUCUGUAUUUCAGUUUUGUUGUUAAAACAAAAUUCCUAAGAAAGUUCCCCUUGUAGAUGGUAUCCAAUUUCCAUCUUCUGUAAAGGUGUGGUUUACAGCUGUUGUAAAAUGAUAAAGUCCCUGUGCAAGUA
Molecule: long non-coding RNA, 1528 nt
Organism: Acipenser ruthenus (sterlet)
Lineage: Eukaryota; Metazoa; Chordata; Actinopteri; Acipenseriformes; Acipenseridae
Exons: 2
Source: RefSeq, a predicted model, not a curated record